RNAcentral lists this ribosomal RNA (462 nucleotides) under uncultured bacterium. Its description in RNAcentral is "partial 16S ribosomal RNA". It matches the Rfam family "Bacterial small subunit ribosomal RNA", at positions 338 to 795 of the family's 1533-position model. The record is from RNAcentral.
CCUACGGGUGGCAGCAGUGAGGAAUAUUGGUCCAUGGACGCAAGUCUGAACCAGCCAAGUAGCGUGCAGGAUGACGGCCCUCCGUGUUGUAAACUGCUUUUAGUUGGGAAUAAAAGGGGGCUCGUGAGCCCCGUAUUGUAUGUACCAUCAGAAAAAGGACCGGCUAAUUCCGUGCCAGCAGACGCGGUAAUACGGAGGAUUCCAGCGUUAUCCGGAUUUAUUGGGUUGAAAGGUGGCGUAGGCGGUCUGAUAAGUUAGAGGUGAAAUCCCGAGGCUCAACGUCGUAAUUGCUGCUGAUACUGUGCGGCUAGAGAGUAGUUGCGGUAGGCGGAAUGUAUGGUGUAGCGGUGAAAUGCUUAGAGAUCAUACAGAACACCGAUUGCGAAGGCAGCUUACCAAGCUACUUCUGACGUUGAGGCACGAAAGCGUGGGGAGCAAACAGGAUUAGAUACCCCAGUAGUC